CUGGGAGAUAUGGCGUGGGAGGAACGCUGGAAUGUUUUCAAAAGAUCUUGUGGACUUUUCAGAGCUGGGAGGUACUCUGGUCGAGGAAACUGAAGGACCAGCACAUGCGCUUAUCUACAAGGCUACAAACUUUGUGCCAAAAACCUCCUCGAUCCAUUGGGUUUCUCUGGUCCGUGUCACUCGUGUUGCUUUAACUUCUCUAUUUUCUUCCUGUAACUUCACUCCCUCUACCUUCUG
This 237-nucleotide long non-coding RNA is filed under the name Elaeis guineensis (African oil palm). RNAcentral describes it as "long non-coding RNA (EGUI_LNC072110)". Lineage: Eukaryota; Viridiplantae; Streptophyta; Magnoliopsida; Arecales; Arecaceae. The record is from RNAcentral.